UGGAUAUAGUUUUGAAAUUGAUAGAUUUGAUUAUUGACAGGGAUAUUGUCUAUCAUCUUAUAAUUGUUAAGUCUGUAAUAGAAAAUCUUUGAGCACCUUCAUUAUCUCUAAUGUAGGCAUCUUCUAAGGCAUACCAAAGAUUUUUAGCAGUCUUAUAUUUUUUAUAGGUUUUAUACAAUUCAUCUGAAAGACAACUAAGAAUUCUAAACCUGUGAUAGAACUCAAUUUCCUCUAAAAAUUUGUCUAGU
RNAcentral lists this long non-coding RNA (248 nucleotides) under Elaeis guineensis (African oil palm). RNAcentral describes it as "long non-coding RNA (EGUI_LNC032040)". The record is from RNAcentral. Lineage: Eukaryota; Viridiplantae; Streptophyta; Magnoliopsida; Arecales; Arecaceae.